Long non-coding RNA from Culex quinquefasciatus (southern house mosquito), 204 nucleotides. RefSeq lists it as uncharacterized. Lineage: Eukaryota; Metazoa; Arthropoda; Insecta; Diptera; Culicidae. The transcript has 2 exons. The record is from RefSeq and is a predicted model, not a curated record.
AUGCGAGGGGACUUUAUGAUAAUGUUUGGAGGAAAGAGAGGGGCAGUGGAAGGAAGAGGCGGACCAACUCUUGCACGACAAUACUUGCACGGGCAAAUUUAACAAAAUGUUGGUUAAUCUAAAAUCAUCAACCAUAACAUACAUGGAAAUGCGUACACAUUAUAUCAAAAUAAAAAUUCGAUGGUGGGAAAUGUCUAAAAAAAA